GUCUAUGGCCAUACCACCCUGUAGGCCCCUGAUCUCAUCUGAUCUCGGAAGCUAAGCAGGGUCGGGCCUGGUUAGUACUUGGAUGGUUUUACUUUUUAACACUUAUCUUAUUUUUC
Molecule: non-coding RNA, 116 nt
Organism: Mesocricetus auratus (golden hamster)
Lineage: Eukaryota; Metazoa; Chordata; Mammalia; Rodentia; Cricetidae
Source: Rfam